RNAcentral lists this microRNA precursor (60 nucleotides) under Patiria miniata (bat star). Its description in RNAcentral is "Pmi-Mir-10-P2_pre stem-loop". It matches the Rfam family "mir-10 microRNA precursor family", at positions 8 to 66 of the family's 74-position model. From Rfam's summary of the family: In this case the mature sequence comes from the 5' arm of the precursor. The extents of the hairpin precursors are not generally known and are estimated based on hairpin prediction. Lineage: Eukaryota; Metazoa; Echinodermata; Asteroidea; Valvatida; Asterinidae. The record is from RNAcentral.
AACCCGUAGAUCCGAACUUGUGUUGGCUUCAUAUUCACAGGUUCGAAUCCACAGGUCCUG